This 279-nucleotide ribosomal RNA is filed under the name uncultured bacterium. RNAcentral describes it as "partial 16S ribosomal RNA". It matches the Rfam family "Bacterial small subunit ribosomal RNA", at positions 506 to 784 of the family's 1533-position model. The record is from RNAcentral.
UGCCAGCCGCCGCGGUAAUACGGAGGGUGCAAGCGUUAAUCGGAAUUACUGGGCGUAAAGCGCGCGUAGGCGGUUUUGUAAGUCGGAUGUGAAAUCCCUGGGCUUAACCUGGGAACUGCAUUCGAUACUGCAUAACUAGAGUAUGGUAGAGGGAAGUGGAAUUUCCGGUGUAGCGGUGAAAUGCGUAGAUAUCGGGAGGAACACCAGUGGCGAAGGCGGCUCACUGGCCCGGUACUGACGCUGAGGCGCGAAAGCGUGGGGAGCGAACGGGAUUAGAUA